Molecule: small nuclear RNA, 105 nt
Organism: Astyanax mexicanus (Mexican tetra)
Lineage: Eukaryota; Metazoa; Chordata; Actinopteri; Characiformes; Acestrorhamphidae
Source: Ensembl
AAUCACAUUUGGCUAAUUACUAAAAUUGGAACAAUACAGAGAAGAUUAGCAUGGCCUCCUGUGCGCAAGGGCAACACGCAAAAUCGUGAAGCGCCAAUACUUAUU